Molecule: ribosomal RNA, 579 nt
Filed under: Jania sagittata
Lineage: Eukaryota; Rhodophyta; Florideophyceae; Corallinales; Corallinaceae
Description: eukaryotic LSU rRNA
Rfam family: Eukaryotic large subunit ribosomal RNA
Source: RNAcentral
GAUGGAAAGCACUUUGAAAAGAGGGUGAAAAGUACCUGAAACUGCCACGGGGGAAGCGGAUUGCGUGAGUGUUGUCUAUUGAUGUUCAGCUCGUUACUUUUUUUGAGUGGCGAGUGUAUUCAUCGUAGGCUGUGUUGGCAUGGCUGUUUGGUUUUGGAUUUUGCAAAGCUAAAUGGUGAGGGGUCCCUGCAAAGGUGAGGAUGUCAACAAAAUAACGCGACCCGACCCGUCUUGAAACACGGACCAAGGAGUCUAGCACUACUGCGAGUCGAAGGGUUUUUAAACCUAGAGGCACAGUGAAAGCGAACAUUGGGAAAUCAAUUACAGAUUAGGGAGGUGUUGCGACGUUGUCAAAAUAUCCUACCCAGAGCAAUAGUGCUGGGACCCGAAAGAUGGUGAACUAUGCCGGAAUAGGGCAAAGCCAGAGGAAACUCUGGUGGAGGCUCGUAGCGAUGCUGACGUGCAAAUCGCUCGUCGAAUUUGGGUAUAGGGGCGAAAGACUAAUCGAACCAUCUAGUAGCUGGUUCCCUCCGAAGUUUCUCUCAGGAUAGCGGGCCGACGAUGUGGGUUGUUUUGUGU